This is a non-coding RNA of Danio rerio (zebrafish), 1422 nucleotides long. Lineage: Eukaryota; Metazoa; Chordata; Actinopteri; Cypriniformes; Danionidae. The record is from RefSeq and is a predicted model, not a curated record.
CCACUAGGUUGCACUAGAGGGGAGUGAGAACUGGAUAUGUUCCAGUUCACCAUAGAACAAGUGAGUCGUGUUUGGUAGAGGGAACCACAUGGUAAACUUAGGCUACCGACCCACUCCGGUUCUGAUUUUUUUGAGAACAUUAUUGUUGCUACUCAAAUACAGGACCUGUUGUCCUAGAGAUGUUCAGAUGAGGUGUUUGUUGGUGCUUUCAAUGGACUGCAAUGAUUUGGUUUCAACAUUCUUUAUGCUUCUCAUUGGCAAGUGAACUAUAUGUGUACACUUGGGAUGAUGGUCAGUGACUCUUAAAUUCCUCAUCGUACUACCGAUUUCCCAGUUUAAGGAAGUGGAUAAUAUUGCAUCGCACUCAAAUCCAUCUACGCAACAUUCACCCAACCAUCUAUAUUGAUUACUUUUGUUUGUGUGGACUAUAUACUGUAUACACCUGUAGAGAAAUUAAACAAGAAGGAAAAAGGGAAGAACAGGCUUGUGAAGUUUAUUUUAAUUUCAGUAUGUGUGAAAUAAAAAUUCUGUGAACUCCCUCAGUGUAACAUCUUGCAUGCAUAGAGGUGGUGUUACAAUUGUUAGUAGCCUCCAGAACCUCAACACACCAGAUCAAAUGUGACACGAUGAAGGGGUAUGUUAAAAAUUGUUUAGCAAACGUCAAACUUUUUUUUUUUUUUUAAAUUAGAUCAAGGUCGAUAUGAGUGUAUGUUAAUACGUAAACAAAUUUAUGUAAUUCUAUUCACAAGCAGAGACAAAACAAUAGCAAUGUUGUUAGUUUGAGUCAAUUUCUAGCUAGCUAUGUGUAAGCUAGCAACAUAUACUACAUCUCACUUAUGUAGGUAAGUUUUCCUAUAAAUGUUUUUGUCUGUUUUUAGGCUGCAUGAGAGCCUUUUUUGGGAAGAUAUUUUUCUGACCUGUUCUUAUCUUUUUAUUUUUAUUAACUUCAUCGUUUAAAAUAAUUAAAUUACAUUUGCAGCAAAAUUACAAUGCGUGUAACACUCCAUACGAGAAUUUAACGGCACACUCACUAAAAAGCUAAAUUAAUUAAUUAUUUAAUUAAUUUAAUAAUAAAUGUUAUGUGCGUUUAUAUUAAAACAACAAAACAUUCAUUAUCAGUAAUUGACCACCAACAAUCACAAAUAAACCUAUAUAUGUUCUUACUAAUUUUAUUUUAUUUUCACUUAAUCUUAAUCAUGUCUGAUUAAUUAUUGAAGUUAUUUUUGCUAGUAUUGUUAAAUAUUAAAUUAUAGACUGUAUGUGUUUGCUGGAUAAUUAGGCCUAUAUGUUAAUUGUGAUGUCUACUUCACCUGUGAAUCUGUGAUUAUCCAUUCUUUUUAUGGUACUGUUUGGGAUUGUAUCCCAAAUAAUAAUAGUAGUAAUAGAAAAUAAUAAUAGAAAAUAAACAAUAAAAAAGCUUAA